Saxophila tyrrhenica is the source of this 95-nucleotide non-coding RNA. NCBI's taxonomy places the organism in Eukaryota, Fungi, Ascomycota, Dothideomycetes, Mycosphaerellales, Extremaceae. The record is from the annotation of a RefSeq genome assembly.
UCCACCACAGUCUAGUGGCUAGGAUUUGUCGCUUUCAUUGGUCUCUCAACAACCACAGAGCCGACAAGGCCGGGGUUCGAUUCCCCGUGUCGGAA